RNAcentral lists this ribosomal RNA (429 nucleotides) under Ceratocombus coleoptratus. RNAcentral's name for it is "partial 16S ribosomal RNA". Lineage: Eukaryota; Metazoa; Arthropoda; Insecta; Hemiptera; Ceratocombidae. The record is from RNAcentral.
GUCCUUUUGGUUUUUAUUUAAGGUCUAACCUGCUCUAUGAAUAUUUAAAUGGCUGCAGUAUUUUAACUGUACUAAGGUAGCAUAAUCAUUUGUCUUUUAAUUGGGGACUAGAAUGAAUGGUUGGUUGAAAAAUUAUUUUUAUUAUUAUUAUUUAUUUGAAUUUAAUUUUUAAGUUAAAAAGCUUAAAUUUUUUUAUUAGACGAGAAGACCCUAUAAAACUUUAUAUAUAUUAUUUUAUAUUAUUUAUAAUUAAAAUUUUUUAAUUUAUUAUUUAUUUCAUUGGGGUGAUGGUGAAAUUUUUUUAACUUUUAUAUAAUUUUUCAUUAUUUAUGUUUUUUUGAUCCAAUAUUUUUGAUUAUUAGAUUAAGUUACUUUAGGGAUAACAGCGUAAUUUAUUUGGGGAGUUCAUAUCUAUAAAUAAGUUUGCGA